GAUGAACGCUGGCGGCGUGCCUAACACAUGCAAGUCGAACGAAGCGUCUUAAAGGAAGUUUUCGGAUGGAAUUUGGGAUGACUGAGUGGCGGACGGGUGAGUAACGCGUGGAUAACCUGCCUCAUACAGGGGGAUAACAGCUAGAAAUGGCUGCUAAUACCGCAUAAGCGCACAGUGCCGCAUGGCAGUGUGUGAAAAACUCCGGUGGUAUGAGAUGGAUCCGCGUCUGAUUAGCCAGUUGGUGGGGUAACGGCCCACCAAAGCGACGAUCAGUAGCCGGCCUGAGAGGGUGAACGGCCACAAGGGGACUGAGACACGGCCCUU
This 324-nucleotide ribosomal RNA is filed under the name uncultured bacterium. RNAcentral's name for it is "bacterial SSU rRNA". It matches the Rfam family "Bacterial small subunit ribosomal RNA", at positions 28 to 334 of the family's 1533-position model. The record is from RNAcentral.